GACCGGCGGAUGUCUAGAGCCAAGGCGAUGCUGAAGAAGGAGCUGUCCUUUCAGCACCACGGCGCUCUCCGCUUCCUCCUCUUGCAAGCAGCAGCUGGGCAUUCAUUCUUUACAUCCGCAUUUGCUGGUGAUCACUUCGAUGCCACUAUUUUGAAAGAGAGAGAGCGCAGCUUUCUUCAGGUUGCUGAAACUGACAGCCAGAAGUAUUCUAAAGAGAAUUGGAAUUUGGCAAUUUGUAGAUCACACGUAACUCACAGAACACUUGGGCCCACCAAGAUAGAAAACCACCUAGGAGGCACAAAGACAAUAAAACAAAGGAUAAGGACAAGCAUUUCAAAUCAGCUAAAUCUAUUUGAAAGCCACAGGUGGAGAAUGAUCAUGUUCCUGGGUGUUCACAUAGGUUACAAAAUCAUAUUGGAUUGAAAUAAAGUUAUCAUUUUUACUUUGA
Podarcis raffonei (Aeolian wall lizard) is the source of this 448-nucleotide long non-coding RNA. RefSeq lists it as uncharacterized. The transcript has 3 exons. NCBI's taxonomy places the organism in Eukaryota, Metazoa, Chordata, Lepidosauria, Squamata, Lacertidae. The record is from RefSeq and is a predicted model, not a curated record.